UAGGGAAUCUUCCACAAUGGACGAAAGUCUGAUGGAGCAACGCCGCGUGAGUGAAGAAGGUUUUCGGAUCGUAAAGCUCUGUUGUUGGUGAAGAAGGAUAGAGGCAGUAACUGGUCUUUAUUUGACGGUAAUCAACCAGAAAGCCACGGCUAACUACGUGCCCA
Molecule: ribosomal RNA, 164 nt
Filed under: uncultured bacterium
Lineage: Bacteria
Description: partial 16S rRNA
Rfam family: Bacterial small subunit ribosomal RNA
Source: RNAcentral